This 12368-nucleotide long non-coding RNA is filed under the name Malus domestica (apple). Its description in RNAcentral is "long non-coding RNA (MDOM_LNC002848)". Lineage: Eukaryota; Viridiplantae; Streptophyta; Magnoliopsida; Rosales; Rosaceae. The record is from RNAcentral.
AAUAUUCCAACUUCAAUGCAAAAUCCACAAGGUAUACACCUUAAUGCUCAAAUUUAAUUAAGCUGAUCAUUAGCAAUUAUGUCUGACUCGGAUCCGCCAGAUGCUCAAGGUGUUAUAGGAAGGCCCAAAAGGAAUUCUUCCUCCUCCCAGUCAUCUUUCCAGAGUGCUGGAGGGUCGUAUCUGCCAAACGCUCAGGGUGCUCUAGGAAGGGACAAGAUGAAAUCUUCGGCGUCCCAAUCAUCAUCUCAAAGUGGUGGUGGAGGCUCGUAUCCGCCAAAUACUCAUAGCGCUCUAGGAAGGGACAAGAAGAAAUUUGGGAAAAACAAGUGAAGAAUUAUAUAUGCAGACUGUUACAUUAAGGUUAUAUACUAUACAAUUGAAUUAUUGAUUAAUUUGUUGGCAACCAUGGAGGUAUACAAAAUACAGUUGGACAUAAAUAAGCACAAUUGCAUAUUUAUAUUUACAAACUUGGAAAAUAUUUGUCUCCAUUAUUUGGUACAAAUAUUUCUUUUCAAGGUUAGAAACAUGUACAUUAUAAUUUCUUAAGUUCAGUCAGCAUUAUUAUAUUGUAAAAAAGGGUGGGUGCUGCUAAGAACAAAUCCCACAAGAAUGUAUCAAAAGAAAUGCAUUAAUAUAUUAUUUGAUUUUUUUCUAUAUAUAGUUGAUGUUUGCAUAGAUUUUAAGCAAGUAUAAAGGGGUGGAAAGCUAUUUUAGUUAAAUUUCAAGUAAAAACGGGUAGAAAACUAUUUUAUUAUCUCCCCAACCCCCUUAGUGCACAUAUUAUCAUUUGUUCAACUAAAAAAGCAAACACUUAGUGCUAUGGUCUAGUGGUAUUCCUGUUCACUUAUGAGUGAGAGGUCUUUGGUUCGAUUCUCGCCAAAGCCGAAGUUGAACCAUAUUAUUAUGACAAGCUUAUUGUAAGGCGUAGCACCAACCAUGUAUCAUCCUACUCAAAAUUCGUACAUAAUUUUUAAUUUAAAAAUACGAAAUAUAAAAUUACAACUAAAUUAGACACCAUCACACCCUUAAAAAUAAAAGUAAAAAAUAUAACAAAAGCCACACAAACACCUCCAUCUCUGACAAAAUUCCCAAACCAUACAUCCCUGGUUCUUUGACAUGCUCCCGUUUUAUGGAUGCUUUUCAUCUCUUUCAAUUUAUUAUUCACUUCAUAGAAUAUAUAUGUGCUAUGUUUGGAUGAGGGUUGUUUUCCAAGUCCCAAAGGAUUGAAGUCAAACCAUGAAGGAAUGGACCACAAAAUAUAACAUAGAGGCAAUAUGAAAAGUCCUUCAUGAGCAUUAAAAGGCGUAUCCCUGCCGAUCCAACUUCAAAAUUAAGAGUAGCCAAGCCUAGCUUAUGAAGAGGAUGGGAAACCGAGUCCUCUUCUCUAAAAUUAGUAUGGGCUACUUGGAUGUGGUGUUUACGUCACUUGACAUUUUUCAGUUCAUCUUGAUUCAAGAAGUUUUCUCCUCGUACAGCUUGUAAAAAUUCUUAAUUAUGUGGGGCAUUAAGUUUCAUUGUGUGUGCUUGCUUUUGACUAAGGACCGAGAUUUUGGCAACUUGGAUGAUGGGAGGCUUCUUUGGAUCUAUGAGCUUGGUUCCAAUUCAUUGAAGGUGAUGAUAACGGUCUAAAAUAUCGUUAGACUCAUAAAUCCUCCAUUUGAUUUCUUACUUGUUCUUCUUCACUCGGCAAACACCUCCCCUUCUGGUCACAAACACAUAUUCUGAUUUGGAAAUGGUCCGUCUGCAUACCCACCGAUCAAUCCCUUAUUUGUGUUUUUGGGAAAAAACUGGGAACUUGUGCAGCAACUUACUGCAUGUAAGCCUUAGAAGAUUUCUUUCCUUCUUUGUUAACAAGGAAACUGAUAUGGAUGAACACACAUAUGCAUGCCUGGAGAGCCACAUAUAAUAUUACAAUUCGUUUGUGGGUUUCGAUCCACUAAUGUUUUUCUAUAUGAGUAAGCCUUUCUCUUCAUUUUCUUAAGCGGUUGAAAGUCAACAGAUAUACACACACACACAAGAUAUACACACACGGGGUCACAGAGAGAAAAGAAAAUUAUAUCACAGAGAAACCCCAGAAAUUAUCAAUGGAGAGAAAUUUUAUGAGAAAUUUCCCAUACAUUAUGUAAAUAUCCAUGUAUUAACUCAAUCAAUCUAGCAAAGAACCUUGUCAGAAACUUGUUCUCAUUUUCCAGGAAUAUGUGUGUAUGAUAUAGGAGGAGAAAUCCCCCAAGCAAUCACAUGCCAGCGCAAUCAAAACAGCGUCAAUGAUUUCUUCUUAACUGCGCUGCACAAGCGGCGUAAGAACCAAUUCUUCUCAGCUCAGCCGACCACUCACAUUCAGCUGGAGACAUAGAAAAAGGAAUUCAAGUUAAACAAAUAAAUUGUGUUUACUUAUGCGCUUAGGUUACUCUAAUUUCUUUGUAGUUCUGUGGAAACCAAACUGCAUGAUACGAACCAUAACGUCCCUCCCAAUCGGAAACUAUAAAUAUUUCCAACUUCAAUGCCCAAAAUCCAGAAAUUGAUCUCCUUUACACACCUUCUGUGUACAAGUUUAAUUAAGAUAAUCAUUAGCAACUAUAUCUUCUAACUCGGAUCCGCCAGUUGCUCAAAAUGUUUUAGGAAGGCCCAAAACAAAUUCUUCGUCAUCCCAGUCAUCUUUUCCGAGGGCUAGAGGCUCGUAUCUGCCAAACGCUUGUUGAAUUCUAAUCCAGUCUUGGGCCGAGUCCAACCCAUGUUGAAAAGGCAACACAAGCUAAUUGAUGGUUCAUGCAAAUGCUAGAUAAUUCUAGCAAAAGCAGGUGAAAUGCAUGCAUAUUAAAAUCCAGCAAAGACCAAGUCGGUUAAGCCAUCUAGAAAUAUCUAAACUAUAUCUAAUGUAUCCUUUUUCUAGAAAGAUCAAAGCUAGCAAUUCGUGUGGCUGUUAAGCAAUGCUCAAGUCGGUGCAAUAAGGAAAGUCGGCAAAACCACACCUAUAAAUAGGUGUAUGUGUGUGUGUUGUGAAGCAAGAACUAAGAAGAAGUGAGAGCAAGUAAGAGAGCAAUAAGUGUGAGAGUGUUUGAGUGUUUCCUCUUGUACUAAGUUUGUGUGAAAAUAAAAAUUUUUGUAUAACACUUUGAGUGUUCUUUCUCUUGCCUAUCAAUUCCGCUGCAUUUCAUUCUUCUUUGUGAGAUAAACAUCUCCAAAGUAGUGAAGCCUUUUUUAAGUCCCAACAAAGUGGUACCAGAGCUAUGGCUAGCAACGCUAUGGCAGCCUUCCAAGUUCCAGUGCUCGACAACAACAACUUCGAUAAUUGGAGUAUCAAAAUGAGGGCCCUUUUGGGAGCACAUGAUGUCUGGGAAGUCGUGGAGAAAGGCUACACUGAGCCAGAAGAUGAAGCUACUCUGUCCCAACCCCAGAAGGAGAGUUUGAAAGAUUCAAGAAAGAGAGACAAGAAGGCUCUCUACCUCAUCUACCAAGCAUUAGAUGACAAUGGCUUUGAGAAAGUCUCGAGUGCAACCUCUGCCAAGCAAGCAUGGGAGAAGCUUCAAACCUCUUACAAAGGAGCUGAACAAGUGAAAAAGGUUCGUCUUCAAGUACUAAGAGGUGAGUUCGAAUCUCUACAAAUGAAAGCGUCUGAAUCAAUCUCUGAUUAUUUUUCAAGAGUCUUAGCCGUUUCCAAUCAAUUAAAAAGAAACGGAGAAAAGUUAGAAGAUGUUAGAAUUAUGGAGAAGAUACUACGCUCGUUGGACCCCAAGUUCGAGCACAUUGUCGUGACGAUUGAAGAAACAAAGAACUUGGAAGAAAUUAGUAUAGAGCAAUUAAUGGGUUCGCUACAAGCAUAUGAAGAGAAACAUAAAAAGAGGCAAGGGAAUGAUGAGCAGCUCCUCCAGACGCAUGUUCAGCCAAAGAAGAAAGAAGAAAGCUUCGAUAACGAGAGAAGCCAGUACGAAAGAAGUCGUGGUCGAGGUCGCGGACAUGGACAUGGACGUGGACGUGGUUGGAACUUCAACAACCAUAGUAACUACGAAAGAGGAGGAAGCUCAACAAAAGGUCGUGGAAGAGGACGCUCAAACUUGAGGUAUGAAAAAUCUCAAGUUCAAUGCUACAAUUGUCAAAAGUUCGGGCAUUAUGCUUGGGAAUGUAGAGCUCCAAGCAACAGACCUGAUGAAAAGGUCAAUUAUGUGAAAGAAGAUAAAGAAGAGAAUGGCAUUGUGCUACUAGCAUGCAAGAACAAUGAUAAAGACCAAGACUAUACAUGGUACCUUGACACCGGCGCCAGCAACCACAUGUGUGGAAGAAGAAGCGUGUUCGUAGAGCUCAAUGAAUCAGUGAAUGGCAACGUUUCUUUUGGAGAUGAAUCCAAAAUACCUGUAAAAGGAAAAGGUAACAUCCUUAUUCCCUUGAAAAAUGGAGGUCACCAAUUAAUUUCAAAUGUCUACUACGUGCCCAAUAUGAAAAGCAACAUUUUGAGUUUGGGUCAACUCUUAGAAAAAGGUUAUGAUUUUCAUACGAAAAAUUAUAUCCUUUUUCUUAGAGAUGACAAAGGAAGAUUAAUUGCCAAGGAGAAAAUGUCAAAGAAUAGGAUGUUUCCCAUGGACAUUCAAAACGAUGUUGCAAAGUGUCUCAAGAUAUGUUACAAAGACAUAUCUUGGCUUUGGCAUCUUCGUUUUGGGCAUCUUAACUUUGGGGGAUUGGAGUUAUUAUCUAAGAAGAAGAUGGUGAGAGGCUUACCGUGCAUCAGCCACCCUGAUCAAGUUUGUGAAGGAUGUUUACUUGGGAAACAGUUCAGGAAAAGCUUUCCAAAGGAGUCGACCACAAGAACCCAGAAGCCACUUGAGCUCAUUCACACCGAUGUGUGCGGCCCAAUAAAACCAAGCUCUUUGGGUAAAAAUAAUUAUUUCCUUCUCUUCAUUGAUGAUUUUUCAAGGAAAACCUGGGUGUAUUUCUUGAAGCAGAAAUCAGAAGUCUUUGGAGCAUUCAAGAAGUUUAAAGCUGCUGUAGAAAAAGAAAGUGGUUGCAAGAUCAAAGCCAUGAAAUCUGAUCGAGGAGGAGAAUUCACUUCGAAGGAAUUUCAAGAGUUUUGUGAAGCAAAUGGAAUUCGUCGACCUUUGACAGUUCCAAGAUCCCCUCAACAAAAUGGUGUGGCGGAAAGAAAAAAUCGAACUAUCCUCGACAUGGCUCGAAGUAUGCUCAAAAGUAAGAGAUUGCCUAAAGAGUUAUGGGCAGAAGCUGUAGCAUGUGCUGUCUACCUAUCCAAUCGGUCUCCAACAAGAAGUGUGUGGGGAAAGACUCCGCAAGAAGCAUGGAGUGGAAGAAAACCAGGUAUCUCUCAUCUAAGAGUUUUUGGAAGCAUAGCCCAUGUACAUGUACCAGACGAAAGGAGAACCAAACUCGACGACAAAAGUGAGAAGUUCAUCUUCAUCGGCUAUGACUCAAACUCAAAAGGCUAUAAGUUGUAUAAUCCAAACAAUGGGAAGAUGGUGAUCAGUCGAGAUGUGACGUUCGAUGAAGAAUGAGAAUGGGAUUUUUGCUCUCAUGCAGGUGAUCUUCACUUCUUUCCUCAGUUUGAAGAAGAUAAUGAACAAGGGAUGAUGGAGCAAGCAAGAGAGGUUCAACAAGAAUCCACUACUCCACCUGCUUCACCAACAUCAACCAAUCAUGGUAAUUCACCAGCAUCAGCAUCAUCAAGUGGGAGUCUAAAUGAAAGAGAAGUACCACGCACAAGAAGUCUACGAGAUCUCUAUGAGAUAGCUGAAAGACUCGAUAAUCCUACACUUUUCUGUCUCUUUGCUGAUUGUGAACCAGUUGACUUCCAAGAAGCAGUGCAAGAUACUAAGUGGAUGAGAGCAAUGGAUGAAGAAAUUGAAGCAAUCCAGAAGAAUGAUACAUGGGAACUCGCUAUUCUUCCGAAAGGACACAAAGCCAUCGGAGUCAAGUGGGUGUACAAGACAAAGAAAAAUGCCAAUGGAGAGGUCGAAAGAUACAAGGCGAGAUUAGUGGCGAAGGGUUAUAGUCAAAGAGCCGGAAUCGACUAUGAUGAGGUAUUUGCACCCGUUGCUCGGUUGGAAACUAUACGAUUACUAAUUUCUUUGGCAGCUCAAAACAAAUGGAGGAUUCAACAAAUGGAUGUGAAGUCCGCUUUCCUAAAUGGAGUCCUUGAAGAAGAAGUCUACAUUCAGCAACCAUCAGGCUAUGAAAUCAAAGGGCAUGAAGAUAAAGUUCUGAAGUUGAAGAAAGCCCUAUAUGGUUUAAAACAAGCGCCACGAGCAUGGAAUAGUCGCAUUGACAAGUACUUCCAGGAGAACAACUUCACCAAGUGCCCUCAUGAACAUGCUCUCUACGUCAAAGUCAAAGAUGGAGAUAUUUUGAUUGUGUGUUUAUAUGUGGAUGAUCUAAUCUUCACCGGAAGUAAUCCAAGCAUGUUUGAAGAGUUCAAGAGAGUGAUGACCAAAGAAUUCGAGAUGACGGACAUCGGGUUGAUGGCAUACUACCUAGGCAUUGAAGUCAAGCAGAACGAAGAAGGUAUUUUCAUCUCCCAAGAAAGCUACACAAAGGAGAUACUGAAAAAGUUCAAAAUGGACGACUGCAAACCCAUAAGCACGCCAGUGGAGUGCGGAGUCAAACUAACCAAGCAUGACGAAGGAGAAAGUGUAGAUCCAACAUUUUUCAAGAGUUUAGUUGGAAGCUUGCGUUACUUGACUUGCACAAGACCAGAUAUUUUCUAUGCCGUCGGAUUAGUCAGUCGCUACAUGGAGAAUCCCACAACUACACAUUUGAAGACAGCCAAAAGAAUUCUUCGAUACCUUAAAGGUACUGUUAACUUUGGCUUGUUCUAUUCAAGUUCUGAUAACUAUAAACUUGCUGAAUAUAGCGACAGUGAUUGGGCAGGAGAUUCCGAUGAUAGAAAAAGCACUACUGGAUUUGUGUUCUUCAUGGGAGACACUGCAUUCACAUGGAUGUCUAAGAAGCAACCGAUUGUCACUCUCUCUACCUGCGAAGCUGAAUACGUAGCUGCUACCUCAUGUGUCUGUCAUGCAAUCUGGCUGAGAAACUUACUAAAAAAAUUAAGCAUGCCACAAGAAGAGCCAACAAAGAUCUAUGUCGACAACAAGUCUGCAAUAGCUCUAGCAAAGAAUCCAGUAUUCCAUGACAGGAGCAAACACAUAGAUACCCGCUAUCAUUACAUAAGAGAGUGUAUUACAAGAAAGGAUGUGCAAGUGGAAUACGUGAAGUCUCAAGACCAAAUGGCGGACAUAUUCACCAAGCCACUCAAACAAGAAGACUUUAUGAGAUUGAGAAAUUCAAUCGGCGUCACAAGACAAGAUUAAGGGGGGAUGUUGAAUUCUAAUCCAGUCUUGGGCCGAGUCCAACCCAUGCUGAAAAGGCAACACAAGCUAAUUGAUGGUUCAUGCAAAUGCUAGAUAAUUCUAGCAAAAGCAGGUGAAAUGCAUGCAUAUUAAAAUCCAGCAAAGACCAAGUCGGUUAAGCCAUCUAGAAAUAUCUAAACUAUAUCUAAUGUAUCCUUUUUCUAGAAAGAUCAAAGCUAGCAAUUCGUGUGGCUGUAAGCAAUGCUCAAGUCGGUGCAAUAAGGAAAGUCGGCAAAACCACACCUAUAAAUAGGUGUAUGUGUGUGUGUUGUGAAGCAAGAACUAAGAAGAAGUGAGAGCAAGUAAGAGAGCAAUAAGUGUGAGAGUGUUUGAGUGUUUCCUCUUGUACUAAGUUUGUGUGAAAAUAAAAAUUUUUGUAUAACACUUUGAGUGUUCUUUCUCUUGCCUAUCAAUUCCGCUGCAUUUCAUUCUUCUUUGUGAGAUAAACAUCUCCAAAGUAGUGAAGCCUUUUUUAAGUCCCAACAACGCUCAGGGUGAUCUAGGUAGGGACGAUACGAAGUCUUCGUCAUCCCAGUCAUCUUUUCAGAAUGGUGGAGGCUCCUAUCUGCCAAAUACUCAUAUUGCUCUUGGAAGGGACACGAAAAAAACUGGGAAAAACAAGUGAAGAAUUAUAUAUGCAGACUGCUGCAGUAGGGUUAGUUAUAUUGAUUAGUAUAAGAAGGGUAGUAUGGUCCAAAGGUAAAAUGGUGCUGAUAUGGCAAACUGUUAAGUAAGGCAGUUGGUAUAUUUGGUAGUUAGUUAGAAUUGGUGGGAAGAUUAGUUAAAACUGUUAGUGCUAGUAGCUUAAGAGAUAAGGCAACCACUGUGCUAUAUAAGUGUGUAAGAAUCUUGUAAUAUUCAUUCUAGCAAUAUACAAAAACUCAUCUCUUUGCAAUUCUCUUUCUUUCUCUCUAAGUGUUCUGCUUUUCUUCGGUUCUCUGUGAACUGUUAUCAUGGUAUCAAGAGCCAGGCCGAUUCUCGGACUCAAUUCCGCUAUGCGACUCCUUGCGAUCGGUUGAAGUUUCUUGGGGUUUUUCUGCUCAAAUGUCCAUAUUUCCAUUUGUAUCAUGUUCUUUCUUUUUGAUUCCACGGUGCACACCAUCUGUUUGCUUAAAUGCCGCAGUGAAAAUUUGUUUCUUCGAUGUGGUUUCUUGUAUGCAAGUUUCUCUAUUAAGACCGAUAGCCAUUUUCUGCGAGAUUGUUGAAGGAAUACAAAGGCCGAUAGCCAUUCCUUUCUGUUGCUUGACUAGUUCUUGGUUAUUUGAAAUUUGUGCACUCGAAAAAGGCCGAUUGCCAAGAGUGUGUUGAAUGCAAUUUGUUUCCUCCGUAAGGCCGAUAGCCGGAGUGAAAAGUUCUGUCUCAGAUAUUGUGUGUUACUCUUUAAAGGUUGAUAGCCGGAGUAACAUUCUUGAAAAGUUUUGUUUGUUGUUAUUGUGUGCAACUCCAUUAAGGCCGAUUGCCAGAGUACAGUUCUUAUCCCCUUUCUUCAUUGAAGGCCGAUUGCCGAAGAGGGGUGUGUUUCUUGAUUUCUGUUAAUAAUGAAAAAGGCCCACUUACUGUCAAGGGAAGCUGCACGCAAAUUGAGGGAAAGGUCAAAAUUGUUUCACAAGCCACCUCUGCCGUCGCCUUCUAGAGAUGGCAGUGCCAGUCCAAGUGUGUAGACACUCUCCCCUGCUGCUAAGAAGUUUGUAAGAAAUGUAAUGGGCAAGUCCUCAUCUUUUAUUGAUGAAACUCUUCGUGCCAGUUACCGAGGUUCAAGUCCAAGGUUUACUACUCCUAAAGGUGGAAGGAGUGUGUCAAGGCUUGGAAGCCAUGCUAGUAUCGUAUUGAGAUCACCUUCUGCUGCAAGGGAGGGCACUAAUCAAUAUGCCGAUAUCUUAACUAAAGAUCAAUUUGUUACAAUCUUAAACUUGGUAACCCAAGUUAAGAUUGCGGAGGGAUAUUGACUAGUAUAAGAAGGGUAGUAUGGUCCAAAGGUAAAAUGGUGCUGAUAUGGCAAACUGUUAAGUAAGGCAGUUGGCAUAUUUGGUAGUUAGUUAGAAUUGGUGGGAAGAUUAGUUAAAACUGUUAGUGCUAGUAGCUUAAGAGAUAAGGCAGCCACUGUGCUAUAUAAGUGUGUAAGAAUCUUGUAAUAUUCAUUCUAGCAAUAUACAGAAACUCAUCUCUUUGCAAUUCUCUUUCUUUCUCUCUAAGUGUUCUGCUUUUCUUCGGUUCUCUGUGAACUGUUAUCACUGUGAACUAUUAUCAAUUUACUGUAUAAUUGAAUUAUUGAUUAAUUUGUUGGCAACUAUGUGGUAUACAUAAUACAGUUGGUCAUAAAUAAGCAAAGUUGCAUAUUUCUUUUUAAGGUUAGAACAUGUACAUUAUAAUUUCUUCAGUUCAGUUAGCAUUAUUUUAUUGUGAAAAUGGGUGGGUGCUGCUAAGAACAAAUCCCACUAGGAUAUAUCAAAAGAAAUGCAUUAAGAGCUUAAAAAUUACAACUAAAUUAGACAUCAUUCUUAUACUUAAAAAAUAAAAGUAAAAAAAUAAAAAGGGGUGUGAUAUCCACACAACCUUUUUUACUUCUCAUACACCCCUCUAAUUUUCGGUCGUCGGAUCAGAUGAAUUGAAGAAGAUCAACGAACAGAAAUUAACGAAUGGUGUGUGAGAUGUAAAAUGGAGUGUGUGGAUAGCACAUCCCUAUAAAAAAAAGUCACAGAAGCGCCUCCAUCACAUACACAAUUCCCAAACCACAGAUCCAUGGCUCUUUGACAUCCUCCCUUUUUGUGGAUGUUUAUCAUCUCUUUCAAUUUAUUAUUCCCUUCAUAAAAUAUAUGUGCACUAUGUUUGGAUGAGGGUUUUCCAAGUUCUGAGGGAUUGAAGUCAAACUAUGAAGGAAUGGACCACAUAAUAUAACAGAAAGGCGAUUCAAAAAGACCUUGAUGGGCAUUAUAAAGGCAUGUCCGCACCGAUCCAACUCAAAAUUCUGAGUUGGCCAAGCCUAGCUUAUGAUAUUGCCUAUUGGGAUUUAUAAAUCUUGGCACUUUUCGUUGCAGAAGCAUGUUUACUCAUCACCAUAACUAUGGUGUGUUUUCUCACCAUAUAUGCUUUGGACCUAACAUCCGUGUCCUGCUUUUCGUGUUCGUAUCGUUUUCUUCACAUACCCGAUAUUUUAACAGGUCAUGUCGUGUAACACCCAUUAAAGUAAACGGGUAAUAUGACCCUACCCGAAAUAAAUCCGUUAAUAUUAUCAGGUAAUAUGAUCUAAACUGUUAUUUGUUAAAGAAAACUAUGCAUGAGGGUAUGUAUGGUUUUAAAAAUUAAAAUGGCAAUGUACCCAUCCUCAAAACGUAGAUCAUGCAAUCACGAGCGUUUACCUAUUUUUUCACAUUUUUUGCACUUGUAAAUUAAUUAUUAUAAUUGUUUUGAUGUAUUUGGUAUUUUUGAGCAAGAUGUCUUUGGUAUUUUUAAAUUACUUGAUAUUUUUAUUUUUAAUGUGUAAUUUUUUAAUCUCAAUCUAUGCCUAUAGUAUACUAAAUAAAUAAAUAAAACCUAAAUUUUUAAAAUUUAUAUAGAAUAAUAAUACAAUAAUACAUAUUUAUACAUAAUAUAUACAUAUACACUAUGUCUAUUGUAUUUUAUAGUAAGUGUUUUUAGUAGUUGAAAAAAUUAAAAUCAUCAAAAGAACUUUUUUCUUACCGUGUCAAAACAGGUUACUCACAUGUCACCCUCGUAUAACCCUGUUAAAGACCUGUUAUUAACGGGUUUUUAUCGUGUAAUCCGAUAACGACCCAAUUAAUUAUCGUGUUGACCCGAAACCUGUUAUUUUCGAGUCAUUUUUGUGUUGUAUUAACAAGUUUGUACUAGGUUUACGUUUUCAUUUCCCACUGUUGUAGCUAGGAAACUAUAUACUGGACUUCGUGUGCCAUUAACAUGUAUGGGUCAUAAAUCCUCCAUUUGAUUUCUUAUUUGUUCUUCUUCACUCGACAGACGCCUCCCCUUACGAACACGUAUUUCUGAUUUGUAAAUGGUCUGUUGGUCUUACCAACCGAUCAGUCCCUUAUUUGUGUUUCUGGGAAAAAUCUGAGAAAUUGUGCAGCAACUUACUGCAUGCAGCCCUUUGAAGAUUUAUUUUUUCUUUGUUAACAAGGUAACUGAUAUGGAUGAAUACACACACAUAUGAACGCAUGAAGAGCCUGUAGAUUAAGAUCUGAGCCCUCCAUCCAUUGGCAUAAAGAUAUACACACACAGAAAGGAAAAUUAUAUCACAGAGAAACAUCAGAAAUUAAAAAUGGAGAGAAAAUAUUUUAAGAGAAAUUUCCAAUAUAUAAUGUAAACAUCCAGCCCAUGUAUUAACUUAAUUAAUAUAACAAAAAGCCUAGUCAAAAACUUGUUCUCAUUUUCCAGGAAUAUGUGUGUAUGAUAGAGGAGGAGAAAUCCCCCAAGCAAUCACAUGCAUGCGCAAUCAAAACACCGUCAAAGAUGUCUUCUUAACAGCAUUGCAUACGCGGCAUAAAAACAAAUUUCAGCUCAUCCGACCACUCGCAUUCAGAUGGAAAUAUAGAAAAAGGAAUUCAAAUUAAACAAAUAAAUUGUGUUUACUUAUGCGGUCAGGUUACUCUAAUUUCCUGGUAGGUCUGUGGAAACCAAACUGCACGAUACGAACCCUAACGCCCCUCCCAAUCGGCUACUAUAAAUAUUCCAACUUCAAUGCAAAAUCCACAAGUUAUACACCUUAAUGUUCAAAUUUAAUUAAGCUGAACAUUAGCAAUUAUGUCUGAUUCGGAUCCGCCAGAUGCUCAAGGUGUUAUAGGAAGGCCCAAAAGGAAUUCUUCCUCCUCCCAGUCAUCUUUUCAGAGUGCUGGAGGGUUGUAUGUGCCUAACGCUCAGGGUGCUCUAGGAAGGGACAAGAUGAAAUCUUCGUCGUCCCAAUCAUCAUCUCAAAGUGGUGGAGGCUCGUAUCCGCCAAAUACUCAUAGCGCUCUAGGAAGGGACAAGAAGAAAUUUGGGAAAAACAAGUGAAGAAUUAUAUAUGCAGACUGU